UUAUAACAAACAAAAGUAUUUUUGACUUUAUUAUAGUCUUGGUAUAAUUCUUUCUUUGCUAUAUUAAUUGUUUAGAUAUUCUUCGAUUUUUAGUUCUUGGACUGAACUCGAAACUAUAACUGUAUCUUCAACAAUGUCAAACGCAAUUGGAGCUGUAGACCACAAAAUGAAGGACCAGGAGCCAUUGAGAGAGGCGGGAAAACAGUUGGAUUGGCUUGUAGAGAAUUUAUGCGUCGCAUUGGGCAUACAACCCAACAAAAACUUUAACAGGCAACAGCUUGUUAACGUUGUCGUUGGGUUAAAGGCCCAAUGCGACGAAGCCAGGUAUGUUCUGCAAAGCAAUCGAGCGAUAGAUGAUGUGCUUCAAGAACGAGAUCAAAUAAAAGACCAACUAAAAGGACUAGAAUCGAAUUUGGCCCAUGUCAAGAACGGCAACAAAAAACUUGUGGACAAAAAUCAAAGUCUUAAAAUGACACUGGUGACUGUCAAGCGCAAACGCAAUGUACACGGCCAGCUAAAAAUGAAAAGACUGCGCAUGAAAAAUGCUAAAGUCCAGAAAGAAAACGCAAUGCUGAAAAAAGAACUGCAGGUGGUCAAGGCCGGUUUAACUGGCAUCGUUGCAAAAGCUGCACAAUGCCAAUCAAUCAUGACCGACCACAGUGUACUUGCACUUAAACUUGAACGCGACAUUGCGAACAUGGUCAAGGACGAUAUCGCCAAAGAAGAAGAGAUCGCUGAACUUAAAGCCAACUUGAGAGCCAAGUCUCACGUGGUCAGAGCCGUUCAGGCUAUAUCCGAACACCACUUAGCCAAAGCAGCCGAUCGGAUAGAAGAAUUGGAAGCUAAACUAGCCAUCGUAGAGCGAGCGAUGGAAUUAGUUUUUCCAAGCCGUCAGUGAAAGAACGCCCAGAAGCAUUGCCGUUUGCCAAAUUUCAUCAUCUAAGGCUCCAGUGUCUCCACGUCUAGUUCAUGAUGCACGAGUGGUGUUUACUCAAUUCUUUUUUUGGUUUUCUCUCUUUAUUUUCUCUUUAUUUUGGUUUGCUCUCUUCGGAUGAUGCUGUUGAAGUCUUGGAUUGCCCCUGGAGCGUUUUCUAUGUUUUUGUUGUGCUGCAUUGUGCUAUAUAUUGAAAUUUCUUAGCAACUCAAUCAAAUAAAAACUUAAAUUUUUGGGAAAAAGUUUUGAACAUUUACUACAAGGUUACUACACAAAUACAGUUCUGUGAAACUGGGAAGAAUAAAUGGAACAACUUGCGUGAUUCCUAAACGGAUCUGCUAAAAAAUACCAAAAUUAACCUCAAACGUUUCACAAACCCGUAUCUGAUGAUACCAUUGUUGACCCUUUGCAGCCACUCAACUAGUCUAAUCUACAAGCAAGCACCAACCCAACAAAUCCAGUGAAAAUCUUACCAUAUCUGGGAAAUCAGUCGACCAGGGAUUCGUAUGAAAACGCAGCAUUGUACAUUACACAGCCAAACAAUAUGCAGUAAAAAAAUUAGGUAUAAUAUUAUAAUUAAUUCUUAUAAACAAUGUUACUUAAUUGUGUUCAAACAUCAUUCUUGCACUA
RNA transcript from Adelges cooleyi (spruce gall adelgid), 1564 nucleotides. RefSeq lists it as uncharacterized. The transcript has 7 exons. NCBI's taxonomy places the organism in Eukaryota, Metazoa, Arthropoda, Insecta, Hemiptera, Adelgidae. The record is from RefSeq and is a predicted model, not a curated record.